CUGGACAAUACUCCCCUAUUAGAACACCUUUAUGAGGGAGAGACAUCUUGUCCAUUCAAUCCUUUUUAUCAGUAAAAGAAUGACUUUCAGGAUUAAUCAAUUUGCAAAUGGAAACGUGGACCCACGAUUUGAACAGCAGAAGUUUGCAGGGCCCCUUUCACGUGGGAUGUAACAAGCGCUUUUCUUGCUCCAGGAGCGAUAGCAUACAAUUGUUUCAUUCUAGCCGGCUGGACAGCAUUUCACCUUUUGUAAAAACACUAAAUGCUUACGUUAAUGAUAUGCAAAUCACUCUGAUAGUUAAA
Pelobates cultripes (western spadefoot toad) is the source of this 302-nucleotide non-coding RNA. Lineage: Eukaryota; Metazoa; Chordata; Amphibia; Anura; Pelobatidae. The record is from the annotation of a GenBank genome assembly.